Molecule: ribosomal RNA, 509 nt
Filed under: uncultured bacterium
Lineage: Bacteria
Description: bacterial SSU rRNA
Rfam family: Bacterial small subunit ribosomal RNA
Source: RNAcentral
GAAACCCGGGCUAAUACCGCAUAAUGUCUUUUUUUCACAUGGGAGAGAGACCAAAGGGGGCCUCUGCUUGCAAGCUCUCGCCUGAUGAGGGGGUCGCGUCGUAUCAGCUUGUUGGUGAGGUAACGGCUCACCAAGGCAAUGACGCGUAGCGGGUCUGAGAGGACGAUCCGCCACAUUGGGACUGAGAUACGGCCCAGACUCCUACGGGAGGCAGCAGUAGGGAAUAUUGCGCAAUGGUCGAAAGACUGACGCAGCGACGCCGCGUGUGGGAGGAAGCCUUUCGGGGUGUAAACCACUGUCAGGAGGGAAGAACCCCGAGUGUUCGAAUAGGGCACUCGAUUGACGGUACCUCCAGAGGAAGCGCCGGCUAACUCCGUGCCAGCAGCCGCGGUAAGACGGAGGGCGCAAGCGUUGUUCGGAAUUACUGGGCGUAAAGCGCACGCAGGCGGUUUGCUCAGUCCCAUGUGAAAGCCCUGGGCUCANCCCCGGAAUGGCAUGGGAUACUGGCA